AGAUGCUCAUUCCACUCCUUAUGAUAGCAUUGACUUCAUAAACCUAGGAAUGAUGCAGAGCCGAUUAUUCGGUGCCUACGUCCACGUUAACGAUGAACAUCAUUCAUCAUCAACAGGACGAAACGUUGAGUGAGGCACCAUCCG
RNAcentral lists this unclassified non-coding RNA (144 nucleotides) under Proteus vulgaris. RNAcentral describes it as "GlmY_tke1". It matches the Rfam family "GlmZ RNA activator of glmS mRNA", at positions 3 to 156 of the family's 214-position model. Rfam says of the family: This RNA was discovered in E. coli during a large scale screen. The sraJ gene was expressed in early logarithmic phase, but its level decreased with cell growth. Lineage: Bacteria; Pseudomonadati; Pseudomonadota; Gammaproteobacteria; Enterobacterales; Morganellaceae. The record is from RNAcentral.